CAGCCGCCGCGGUAAAACGGAGGGUGCAAGCGUUAAUCGGAAUUACUGGGCGUAAAGCGUGCGUAGGCGGUUCGUUAAGUCUGUUGUGAAAGCCCCGGGCUCAACCUGGGAAUGGCACUGGAUACUGGCGAGCUAGAGUGUGUCAGAGGAUGGUGGAAUUCCCGGUGUAGCGGUGAAAUGCGUAGAGAUCGGGAGGAACAUCAGUGGCGAAGGCGGCCAUCUGGGACAACACUGACGCUGAGGCACGAAAGCGUGGGGAGCAAACAGGAUUAGAUACCCGCGUAGUCCCUGUCUCUUAUAC
RNAcentral lists this ribosomal RNA (301 nucleotides) under uncultured bacterium. RNAcentral's name for it is "partial 16S ribosomal RNA". It matches the Rfam family "Bacterial small subunit ribosomal RNA", at positions 509 to 807 of the family's 1533-position model. The record is from RNAcentral.